Molecule: ribosomal RNA, 613 nt
Filed under: uncultured Lactococcus sp.
Lineage: Bacteria; Bacillati; Bacillota; Bacilli; Lactobacillales; Streptococcaceae
Description: bacterial SSU rRNA
Rfam family: Bacterial small subunit ribosomal RNA
Source: RNAcentral
AGUUUCAGGGAUCGCAUGAUUCUUGAAGGAAAGGUGGCUUCGGCUACCACUAAUGGAUGGACCCGCGGCGUAUUAGCUAGUUGGUGAGGUAAAGGCUCACCAAGGCAAUGAUACGUAGCCGACCUGAGAGGGUGAUCGGCCACACUGGGACUGAGACACGGCCCAGACUCCUACGGGAGGCAGCAGUAGGGAAUCUUCGGCAAUGGACGAAAGUCUGACCGAGCAACGCCGCGUGAGUGAAGAAGGUUUUCGGAUCGUAAAACUCUGUUGUUAGAGAAGAACGUUGUGUAGAGUGGAAAAUUACACAAGUGACGGUAUCUAACCAGAAAGGGACGGCUAACUACGUGCCAGCAGCCGCGGUAAUACGUAGGUCCCGAGCGUUGUCCGGAUUUAUUGGGCGUAAAGCGAGCGCAGGUGGUUUAAUAAGUCUGAUGUAAAAGGCAGUGGCUCAACCAUUGUGUGCAUUGGAAACUGUUAGACUUGAGUGCAGUAGAGGAGAGUGGAAUUCCAUGUGUAGCGGUGAAAUGCGUAGAUAUAUGGAGGAACACCGGUGGCGAAAGCGGCUCUCUGGACUGUAACUGACACUGAGGCUCGAAAGCGUGGGUAGCAAACA